CACCAAAAAAGCAGUAAAUGAGCACAGACUGCAAAUUUCAACCACGCUUCUCCUAAAGACUGAUGACCUCAAAGACAGGUGUCACUACUGUGGGGAAGAGGAGCAUGACACAGACCAGAAUUGGAUUCAGUGUGAAAUUUGCAAGCGAUGGUUCCACCAUCUGUGUGUUGGAGGGCCACCAACGGAAGAGGACUUCUGUUGCCUUGCUGUGAUGUAUAGGUUCUAUCCGUUAGUGAAGAGAAAGGAGCGUCCACAUUAGUCCAUAUCUGCGUUGUUCAUAAUGGCCUCCACCAUCUCCCAUUCUCAUCUCUCCGAACCCUCCCCGAGUGAAUCCAACCUGGCUGCAACUACAGACAGAGUUUGCUCUCUCCCUGUUUUGUUCAUUCUCCUUCCAUUGUGUGACAUUGAUUAGUAGUGUUUCUAUAUCUAUAAGUGGUGUGUAUGUCAUUUAUUGUAGUCUUGUAUGAUUCCAUGACUUUUUAUUGUCAUUUAUUUAUUUAUUUUUGCUUUCAAUCCUAUUCAGUUUCAGUUAGUGUACAUCGUCUGUC
This 548-nucleotide long non-coding RNA is filed under the name Sparus aurata (gilthead seabream). Its description in RNAcentral is "lncRNA (ENSSAUG00010009396.1)". Lineage: Eukaryota; Metazoa; Chordata; Actinopteri; Spariformes; Sparidae. The record is from RNAcentral.